Molecule: Y RNA, 103 nt
Filed under: Sapajus apella (tufted capuchin)
Lineage: Eukaryota; Metazoa; Chordata; Mammalia; Primates; Cebidae
Also listed under: 1 other name
Description: Cebus apella (Tufted capuchin) Y RNA
Rfam family: Y RNA
About the family: Y RNAs are components of the Ro ribonucleoprotein particle (Ro RNP), in association with Ro60 and La proteins.
Source: Rfam by way of RNAcentral
GGCUGAUCUGAGUGCAGUUAGGUGUUAGUUUACACUGAUCACAAACAGUUAAAGAUUCCUUUGUUCUUUCUUCACUCCUACUGCUUCAGUUGGCUAGCCUUAA